UAGGGAAUAUUGCGCAAUGGGGGAAACCCUGACGCAGCAACGCCGCGUGAGUGAGGAAGGUCUUCGGAUUGUAAAGCUCUUUUAUUAGGGAAAAACGGAUUUGUGGCUAAUAUCCACGAGUCGUGAUGGUACCUAAGGAAUAAGCACCGGCUAACUUCGUGCCAGCAGCCGCGGUAAUACGAAGGGUGCAAGCGUUGUUCGGAUUUAUUGGGCGUAAAGCGCGCGCAGGCGGAUGUGUGUGUCAGAUGUGAAAUCUCGGGGCUCAACCCCGAAACUGCGUCUGAAACUGCAGAUCUAGAAUAUCGGAGGGGGCAGGGGAAUUUCACGUGUAGGGGUAAAAUCCGUAGAGAUGUGAAGGAACACCAGAGGCGAAGGCGCCUGCCUGGACGAUUAUUGACGC
RNAcentral lists this ribosomal RNA (400 nucleotides) under uncultured bacterium. Its description in RNAcentral is "bacterial SSU rRNA". It matches the Rfam family "Bacterial small subunit ribosomal RNA", at positions 355 to 746 of the family's 1533-position model. The record is from RNAcentral.